This is a long non-coding RNA of Peromyscus leucopus (white-footed mouse), 853 nucleotides long. RefSeq lists it as uncharacterized. The transcript has 2 exons. Lineage: Eukaryota; Metazoa; Chordata; Mammalia; Rodentia; Cricetidae. The record is from RefSeq and is a predicted model, not a curated record.
CCGGAGCUCGCCUCAGCCGCCCCGAGCCUCCAUUUCCACCACCGCCCCCCCCCACACUCCCUGCUCCUCCUCGGGAGGGGGUGGGAGGGACGGGUCCGCCCAGAACCCCUCCUACUCCGGGAGGGGGGGGAGGUCUGCCGCCUCCCCCGGGGGUCUCCGCGGCUCCGGGUCCCCCUCCCCCACAGUCACCCCCGGCGCCUCCGCGUUUCCCUUUAAAAAAAAAAAAAAAACGGAGUCGCCGGAGCCGCCGCCGCCGCCGCCGCCGGCCGGAGCGCGCAUGCGCCGAGAGGGCCGCGGGCGGGAGCGGACCGGGAGCCGGGAGGAGGGAGGCGGGUAGCGCUAUUGUGAAAGGGGCCGCGGCCGCCGCGAGGGGGAGGGGACCGGGGCGCGGGGGCCCACGAGGGGAGGCCGGCACCAGGGCGAGGACGCCGGCGCGGGCCAAGGGAUCCAGCACCAGAAAUGGAGGGACCUCUGGUUCCCGGAGCAGCGUAGGGGGUGAUGUCUGCUGCCCGGGGAGUUUUUAACCACAACCUUCUUGGGGUGAAGGACUGCCAAGAGCCAUGUCCCCAGCCCUGUUGAGCGACGGCUAGCAUCUUCUGGGAGAAGGCGCAGGAAGUCCAGGAGGAGGAGAUGUAUGCUUGCAUUACACUGAGCGUUCUCUGGGGCCUUCUCUUUUGAGCGCUUCUUCCCGUUCUCCGGGUUCAUAGUGUCUCGUGUGUGUGUGCCAGUCACUUUCCCAGCAACUUGGGCCACCGAGUCCUCACGUUUCCCUAUGGGAAAAUUUGUCAACAGCUGUAAAUGAAUUGGUUGCUUUUCUGUCUGAAGUGCAUUUCUUAAAAGAAAAUUAUGGAGA